UCCAUGUCGGUCGUCUUUUUUAUUUCAGCCCCACUCGUCCCACUAGCGCGCUCCUACUAGCCGCUCGUUGCAUUCUUAUCUCCUUUAACCCCUGAAAUUCUCGUACGUUUCUGAUGGUUUUCGCUUAAUUAGAUAUUAUCACCAUGAUGUCGAUUAUAUCUACAUGUUGCACCCUGGCAUCGUGUCUUCCUGGUCUUCGGUGGUUUCAGACGCCAGUUAAUUAACUGCUCGGCACCAUCAGUCCUGUUGCCAACCGCAGAUAAAAUUCAGUCCAUGGUUAACUAAUUAAUUAGUAAAUCCGGAAAACAAAUUAAUCCAGCCGGUGCGUGUACGUCUGUCCAAAGGUAUACUAUAUGGAACCAACCGGGCAUGCAUGGUGGAUCGGCACGCACAUACAGUAUGUCUCAAGUACUGUACAUGACCUGUGACGACUCUGUGAGUAUUUUUGUUUGUAAUUAAAUAAAGUUGCUGGAUGAGCCGGAACAAGGGGAUGGAGGCCGGAUUGGGGCAUGCAUGUACAUGGUCGGCAGCAGAAAAUACCAGGUGCAGCAUCAUACGUACAUAUCGAUGGACAGCAUCAUCAUGCGGCGGGCAAAGCAUCGCAUAGCCAGCUGCACUAGCACUACGUUCCAGCAUCAUCCAUCUGCUCCCCAGCCCCAACACGACAAAUAAAAGCCGGAGAGAGAGAGAGCAGGUAUAAUAGAUAAACAGUUAUAAAUAUAUUUUAAAGAGAUAAAAGAAAAGAGAGAAAAGUAACGGGCUAUAAAUUUGUAGCCAGCUACAGCAUGGCCUUCAAGAUAUAAUGUAUGUAUGAUAGAUAGGACCAUAUAUUAAUAGUAUAG
Molecule: non-coding RNA, 842 nt
Organism: Oryza sativa Japonica Group (Japanese rice)
Lineage: Eukaryota; Viridiplantae; Streptophyta; Magnoliopsida; Poales; Poaceae
Source: RefSeq, a predicted model, not a curated record